GACGAACGCUGGCGGCGUGCUUAACACAUGCAAGUCGAACGGAAAGGCCCUGCUUGCGGGGUACUCGAGUGGCGAACGGGGGAGUAACACGUGGGUGAUCUGCCCUGCACUUCGGGAUAAGCCUGGGAAACUGGGUCUAAUACCGGAUAGGAGCCAUUUUUAGUGUGACGGGUGGAAAGUUUUUUCGGUGUAGGAUGAGCUCGCGGCCUAUCAGCUUGUUGGUGGGGUAAUGGCCUACCAAGGCGGCGACGGGUAGCCGGCCUGAGAGGGUGGACGGCCACAUUGGGACUGAGAUACGGCCCAGACUCCUACGGGAGGCAGCAGUGGGGAAUAUUGCACAAUGGGCGCAAGCCUGAUGCAGCGACGCCGCGUGGGGGAUGACGGCCUUCGGGUUGUAAACUCCUUUCGCUAGUGACGAAGCUUUUUUUGACGGUACCUAUAUAAGAAGCACCGGCUACCUACUU
RNAcentral lists this ribosomal RNA (464 nucleotides) under uncultured bacterium. Its description in RNAcentral is "partial 16S ribosomal RNA". It matches the Rfam family "Bacterial small subunit ribosomal RNA", at positions 28 to 506 of the family's 1533-position model. The record is from RNAcentral.